RNAcentral lists this long non-coding RNA (608 nucleotides) under Homo sapiens (human). RNAcentral's name for it is "HSALNT0211050". Lineage: Eukaryota; Metazoa; Chordata; Mammalia; Primates; Hominidae. The record is from RNAcentral.
GCCUGAGGCUCGAGUCGCGGCGCCUGGGGCGGUGGCCGCCGGACCAAAGCUGGCCUCUCCCGGCUCCUCCUCCUCGCUCCCCAAGGCCUUUCCCACCGCGUCAUUGUCUCGGUUUAUCUGCAGAUACGUCUACCUAGCAGUCAGCCCAGCAGCCUGGCAGUUCAGAGCUCCGCAUCCCCAGGCCUCUGAGUCACAGUUCCUGCCUUCAUGAAACUAGGAGUUGGGGCCACUGCAUUCUACUCCUUCGGGACUAUUGUUUCAUUUCUCAGUCCCUCAAACCCUUUAUUGGAUGAACAUGGGGUUAGGACAGCGGUUCUCCACUGCAACAGUUUUGCCUCCCAGGAGACAUUUGGCAAUGUAUGAAUCAUUUUCAGCCUCUCAUCUGGGGUGAGAUGUCAUUGGAAUCUACAGAUGGUGGAGGGCACAGUGCUUUUCACCUUGGCUAACUUCAAUGUUAAUGCCCCAAGAGAGAUGAUAUUGUUUCAGAGUGUUACAGAAAAAAAGAUACAGCAAGGUGUUUAGAGGUCUACUAACCCAGGACCACUUUAACGCGGUAGCUGCAGGCUUUGAGAAUCAUCAGCUGAUGUGAAUUUGGGCAGAACACCCAG